Molecule: ribosomal RNA, 555 nt
Filed under: uncultured bacterium
Lineage: Bacteria
Description: partial 16S ribosomal RNA
Rfam family: Bacterial small subunit ribosomal RNA
Source: RNAcentral
UAGGGAAUCUUCCACAAUGGACGCAAGUCUGAUGGAGCAACGCCGCGUGAGUGAAGAAGGUCUUCGGAUCGUAAAGUUCUGUUGUUGGUGAAGAAGGAUAGAGGCAGUAACUGGUCUUUAUUUGACGGUAAUCAACCAGAAAGUCACGGCUAACUACGUGCCAGCAGCCGCGGUAAUACGUAGGUGGCAAGCGUUGUCCGGAUUUAUUGGGCGUAAAGCGAGCGCAGGCGGAAUGAUAAGUCUGAUGUGAAAGCCCACGGCUCAACCGUGGAACUGCAUCGGAAACUGUCAUUCUUGAGUGCAGAAGAGGAGAGUGGAACUCCAUGUGUAGCGGUGGAAUGCGUAGAUAUAUGGAAGAACACCAGUGGCGAAGGCGGCUCUCUGGUCUGCAACUGACGCUGAGGCUCGAAAGCAUGGGUAGCGAACAGGAUUAGAUACCCUGGUAGUCCAUGCCGUAAACGAUGAGCGCUAGGUGUUGGGGACUUUCCGGUUCUCAGUGCCGCAGCAAACGCAUUAAGCGCUCCGCCUGGGGAGUACGACCGCAAGGUUGAAACG